AAGUCGUAACAAGGUUUCCGUAGGUGAACCUGCGGAAGGAUCAUUAACACGUAUCCAAACGUUAAACAACCCUGUGCAAUCCCGGUAAAUCAAUGGCGGAAAAGUUUUGAUUCGGGACCUCUGUCCAAUUAGUUACAAUCGAGCUAGGAGCAGUGGCAUGGUUUCCCUAAGCAGUGCAGAAGGAUCCACUGAGUAAGGAUAACGCAUCACGGUUGCUAGAGGUCGAUCACCGGCCGGCAGACAUGUCACAGGGCUAUAUGCCCCUUCGUUCACCCCUUGCCUAAAACUCGCCCACCGGAAACGCUGGGCACAAAAACCGAACAACUGUUAACAAUGGAUAUCUUGGUUCUC
Molecule: unclassified non-coding RNA, 351 nt
Filed under: fungal sp.
Lineage: Eukaryota; Fungi
Description: partial internal transcribed spacer region
Rfam family: Eukaryotic small subunit ribosomal RNA (bases 1-46)
Source: RNAcentral